CAGUAUGUUCUCUUUUACUCCUCCUUGGUCUCCCCCAACUCCAUCACAUUACCCAGUGCUGCAACCUAUCUGCUAAAUCCUCUUCUCUGGUCCUCCCCAUGGUGAUGCUGAGAAACUUGCUGUUCUUCUCUCAAAACAAGGAAGGAAAGGAAGAGUUUAAUCCAUGGAUUGUUUGAACGUCAUCAGGCUCCUCGGUCUGGAACUGGGAAUCUCACCCCCAAGAAGCCUGUCACCUCCAUUCUUGACCUACAGAGGAAAGGAUGUGGAUCAAACCACAGAUGUGUGAUUUAUCCCCUCCAGGGAGAAGGAAGGAAUUCCUAAUCAAUACCAUUGUGCCUAGGUGCACUUCCUGGAUCCUAUGGUAAUUCUAUGGUUAGCUCUUUGUGAAACUGCCAAACUAUUUCCCAUGGGAGUCAAAUCAUUUUACAUUCCCACCAGCAAUGGAAGCUUUCCAUUUUCUCCACACCCUGACCAACACCUAUUAUUUUCUGCUUUUACUUUGUGUGGUGAUAAAUGGUAUACAGAUUUUUAAAGGUACAGUAGCACAUGCAAUCAGGCACGUAGGUAAAAGUCAUCAAUCAAUAGAUACAUGCAAACUGAGAAUCAACUAUACACAGGGUACCUCAUUCAGAAGAUGCUUCUGAGGAAGGCAUGUUGCUUGUCUAUGUAGCUCAGGUAAGAGGUGAGAAAGCUCCACGAAGAUGGAUGUGGAAUUUGACCAGAAAGUUUGACCCAAAUAAUCAUGCAGCAGAAAGACCUUCUCCAAUAACUAUGGUUGUUGAGCAAGAACUCAAGACUCCUGGGAUCUAAACCUAUUUUAUGCAUAUGGUGCUAAUCUAUUAAACUUGUACUAGUCUUUAUUCAAUUGGACAAUAACUAGGGAAAUCAUAUUGUAGUAACUGUCUGCUAGUUGUGCACUUGGGGUUGAAUUCUUGAGUUAUA
Long non-coding RNA from Mesocricetus auratus (golden hamster), 942 nucleotides. RefSeq lists it as uncharacterized. The record is from RefSeq and is a predicted model, not a curated record. NCBI's taxonomy places the organism in Eukaryota, Metazoa, Chordata, Mammalia, Rodentia, Cricetidae. The transcript is spliced from 3 exons.